GACGAACGCUGGCGGCGUGCUUAACACAUGCAAGUCGAACGGAAAGGCCCUGCUCUUGUGGGGUGCUCGAGUGGCGAACGGGUGAGUAACACGUGAGUAACCUGCCCUUGACUUUGGGAUAACUCCAGGAAACUGGGGCUAAUACCGGAUAGGAGCUCCUGCUGCAUGGGGGGGGUUGGAAAGUUUCGGCGGUUGGGGCUGGACUCGCGGCUUAUCAGCUUGUUGGUGGGGUAGUGGCUUACCAAGGCUUUGACGGGUAGCCGGCCUGAGAGGGUGACCGGCCACAUUGGGCCUAAGAUACGGCGCAGACGCGUACGGGAGGCAGCAGUGGGGAAUAUUGCACAAUAGGCGGAAGCCAGAUGCAGCAACGCCGCGUGCGGGAUGACGGCCUUCGGGUUGUGAACCGCUGUCGCCGGUAAUGAAGCGUUAGUGACGGUAAUGGGUAAAGAAGCACCGGCUAACUACGUG
RNAcentral lists this ribosomal RNA (468 nucleotides) under uncultured bacterium. RNAcentral describes it as "partial 16S ribosomal RNA". It matches the Rfam family "Bacterial small subunit ribosomal RNA", at positions 28 to 507 of the family's 1533-position model. The record is from RNAcentral.